UACGGGAGGCAGCAGUGGGGAAUAUUGCACAAUGGGCGCAAGCCUGAUGCAGCGACGCCGCGUGCGGGAUGGAGGCCUUCGGGUUGUAAACCGCUUUGUAUCGGAGCAAGCCCUUCGGGUGAGUGUACCUUUCGAAUAAGCACCGGCUAACUACGUGCCAGCAGCCGCGGUAAU
This 174-nucleotide ribosomal RNA is filed under the name uncultured Bifidobacterium sp. RNAcentral describes it as "partial 16S ribosomal RNA". It matches the Rfam family "Bacterial small subunit ribosomal RNA", at positions 340 to 524 of the family's 1533-position model. Lineage: Bacteria; Bacillati; Actinomycetota; Actinomycetes; Bifidobacteriales; Bifidobacteriaceae. The record is from RNAcentral.